GGCCAUUAUUCUAAAGUGGAUUUACCUGCUAAUGAGUCAAAGUGAUGAAAGUCUUGAGUCUUGACUAUUCUCAUUUUAGAUUUGAUCCCUUUUGAGACCAGCAAAAAAAUUGAAAGGAAAGGCUCACCUUUAAACAAAAGGGAAGAAUGUUGUGAUCGUUCAAAAUCCUUGUUCAUAGUCUUCUGAUUGCUCCCUCUUCAUCCCAUGGAACAAGAAGAUCUCAAAAGAU
RNAcentral lists this unclassified non-coding RNA (229 nucleotides) under Hevea brasiliensis (rubber tree). Lineage: Eukaryota; Viridiplantae; Streptophyta; Magnoliopsida; Malpighiales; Euphorbiaceae. The record is from RNAcentral.